UUACGGCCACAUCACGUUGAAACACCGGUUCCCGUACGAUCACCGAAAUUAAGCAACGUCGAGCCUCGAUAGUACCUAGAUGGGUGACCGUUUGGAAAUAUCAAGUGCGG
RNAcentral lists this ribosomal RNA (110 nucleotides) under Acanthosepion pharaonis. The record is from RNAcentral. Lineage: Eukaryota; Metazoa; Mollusca; Cephalopoda; Sepiida; Sepiidae.